GGCGACCGGCGCACGGGUGCGUAACGCGUAUGCAACUUACCCUGUACAGGGGGAUAGCCCGGGGAAACCCGGAUUAAUACCCCAUGGUAAUAUUGAAUGGCAUCGUUUAAUAUUUAAAACUUCGGUGGUACAGGAUGGGCAUGCGUCCCAUUAGUUAGUUGGUGAGGUAACGGCUCACCAAGACGAUGAUGGGUAGGGGGUCUGAGAGGAUGAUCCCCCACACUGGUACUGAGACACGGACCAGACUCCUACGGGAGGCAGCAGUAGGGAAUAUUGGUCAAUGGGCGAGAGCCUGAACCAGCCAUGCCGCGUGCAGGAAGACGGCCUUAUGGGUUGUAAACUGCUUUUCUACGGGAAGAAAAGACCUAUGCGUAGGGCAUUGACGGUACCGUAGGAAUAAGCACCGGCUAACUCCGUGCCAGCAGCCGCGGUAAUACGGAGGGUGCAAGCGUUGUCCGGAUUUAUUGGGUUUAAAGGGUGCGUAGGCGGCUUUAUAAGUCAGUGGUGAAAAGCUACAGCUCAACUGUAGUCGUGCCAUUGAAACUGUAAAGCUUGAGUAUAUUUGAGGUAGGCGGAAUUUAUGGUGUAGCGGUGAAAUGCAUAGAUACCAUAAAGAACACCGAUAGCGUAGGCAGCUUACUAAGAUAUAACUGACGCUGAGGCACGAAAGCGUGGGGAGCGAACAGGAUUAGAUACCCUGGUAGUCCACGCUGUAAACGAUGAUUACUCGGUUUUGGCAUAUUAAAAUG
This 749-nucleotide ribosomal RNA is filed under the name Fulvivirga sp. RNAcentral describes it as "bacterial SSU rRNA". It matches the Rfam family "Bacterial small subunit ribosomal RNA", at positions 90 to 839 of the family's 1533-position model. Lineage: Bacteria; Pseudomonadati; Bacteroidota; Cytophagia; Cytophagales; Fulvivirgaceae. The record is from RNAcentral.